AAAUGAAUUGACGGGCUCCCGCACAAGCGGUGGAUCAUGUUGUUUAAUUCGAGGAUACGCGAAGAACCUUACCAGGUCUUGACAUACUCUGCAAAGUCAUGGAAACAUGUACGGAGGUUAACAGAUGUACAGGUGGUGCAUGGUUGUCGUCAGCUCGUGUCGUGAGAUGUUGGGUUAAGUCCCGCAACGAGCGCAACCCCUAUUGCUAGUUACCAUCAUUAAGUUGGGGACUCUAGCGAGACUGCCAGUGAUAAACUGGAGGAAGGUGGGGACGACGUCAAAUCAUCAUGCCCCUUAUGACCUGGGCUACAAACGUGAUACAAUGGCUGCAACAAAGGGUAGCGAAGCAGUGAUGUGGAGCAAAUCUCAUAAAAGCAGUCUCAGUUCGGAUUGAAGUCUGCAACUCGACUUCAUGAAGCCGGAAUCGCUAGUAAUCGCGAGUCAGAACAUCGCGGUGAAUACGUUCUCGGGGGUUGUACACACCGCCCGU
Molecule: ribosomal RNA, 490 nt
Filed under: uncultured bacterium
Lineage: Bacteria
Description: bacterial SSU rRNA
Rfam family: Bacterial small subunit ribosomal RNA
Source: RNAcentral